RNAcentral lists this ribosomal RNA (454 nucleotides) under uncultured bacterium. RNAcentral's name for it is "bacterial SSU rRNA". It matches the Rfam family "Bacterial small subunit ribosomal RNA", at positions 29 to 507 of the family's 1533-position model. The record is from RNAcentral.
AUUGAACGCUGGCGGCAUGCCUAACACAUGCAAGUCGAACGGCAGCACAGCACGUAGCAAUACAUGCGGGUGGCGAGUGGCGGACGGGUGAGUAACGCGUGGGAAUCUGCCCUAUAGUGGGGGACAACCCGACGAAAGUCGGGCUAAUACCGCAUACGCCCUACGGGGAAAGGGCUUCGGCCGCUAUUGGAUGAGCCCGCGUCGGAUUAGCUAGUUGGUGAGGUAAUGGCUCACCAAGGCGACGAUCCGUAGCUGGUCUGAGAGGACGAUCAGCCACACUGGGACUGAGACACGGCCCAGACUCCUACGGGAGGCAGCAGUGGGGAAUAUUGCACAAUGGGCGAAAGCCUGAUGCAGCAAUGCCGCGUGUGUGAAGAAGGCCUGCGGGUUGUGAAGCACUUUCGGUAGGGAAGAUAAUGACGGUACUACAGAAGAAGCACCGGCUAACUCCGUG